CGGAACGGGUGAGUAAUGCGUGACCAACCUGCCCCAUGCUCCAGAAUAGCUCUUGGAAACGGGUGGUAAUGCUGGAUGCUCCAACUUGACGCAUGUCUUGUUGGGAAAGUGUUUAGUGGCAUGGGAUGGGGUCGCGUCCUAUCAGCUUGUAGGCGGGGUAAUGGCCCACCUAGGCUUCGACGGGUAGCCGGCCUGGGAGGGCGGACGGCCACAUUGGGACUGAGAUACGGCCCAGACUCCUACGGGAGGCAGCAGGC
This 257-nucleotide ribosomal RNA is filed under the name uncultured Gardnerella sp. RNAcentral's name for it is "partial 16S ribosomal RNA". It matches the Rfam family "Bacterial small subunit ribosomal RNA", at positions 98 to 354 of the family's 1533-position model. Lineage: Bacteria; Bacillati; Actinomycetota; Actinomycetes; Bifidobacteriales; Bifidobacteriaceae. The record is from RNAcentral.